GACGAACGCUGGCGGCGUGCCUAAUACAUGCAAGUUGAGCGAUGAAGAUUGGUGCUUGCACCAAUUUGAAGAGCAGCGAACGGGUGAGUAACGCGUGGGGAAUCUGCCUUUGAGCGGGGGACAACAUUUGGAAACGAAUGCUAAUACCGCAUAACAACUUUAAACAUAAGUUUUAAGUUUGAAAGAUGCAAUUGCAUCACUCAAAGAUGAUCCCGCGUUGUAUUAGCUAGUUGGUGAGGUAAAGGCCCACCAAGGCGAAGAUACAUAGCCGACCUGAGAGGGUGGACCGCCAACACGGGAACGGGACCAGGCCCCAAACUCUAAGGGAAGCAGCAGUAGGGAAACUUCGGCAAAUGAGGGAAGUCCGGACGGGGAAAGCCGGGGGAGUGAAGGAAGUUCUCGGAUCGUAAAAAUCCGUUGGUAGGGAAGAAAGUUGGGGGGAGUGAAAUGCUCACGAAGUGACGGUAACUAACCAGAAAGGGACGGCUAACUACGUG
Molecule: ribosomal RNA, 497 nt
Filed under: uncultured bacterium
Lineage: Bacteria
Description: partial 16S ribosomal RNA
Rfam family: Bacterial small subunit ribosomal RNA
Source: RNAcentral